RNAcentral lists this long non-coding RNA (550 nucleotides) under Oryza brachyantha (malo sina). RNAcentral's name for it is "long non-coding RNA (OBRA_LNC002992)". Lineage: Eukaryota; Viridiplantae; Streptophyta; Magnoliopsida; Poales; Poaceae. The record is from RNAcentral.
UAAAAUUUGUACUUCUUUACUGCACACAUGUGCUAGCUCCUGCUGGGCAUGUCCACCCAUAAUAUACUUAUAGCUGUAAGAGUAACAUCAGAUCGAGUUACUAGUGUCUAUCAUUUAUUACUCCUUUCCGGGCUAUAUAUAUGUUAUAGUUUGUUGGCAUUGUUAUUCUUGUAUACUGUGCACUCAUAUAUCUCUUCCCUCCUUGUAUAGUUCAACCUCAAAGGACAAUGAAGUUGAAAUAUAUACAUGAUGACAUGAGCACACAAUGGGAAUGAGUAGCAUUAGGAACAGAAUACUUUCAUGGUUGUGAAACAAUAGAUAAUUAAUCCAUUGAAUAUUUGGUGUUUGAUCGUCGUAUUGUAGAAGCCAUGCAACAACAUGGUCUUGUGAUAUCCUGUCAACUGCUUUUUUAAGUGUCCUGGGUAUGGAAUGAUCUUAGUAACCAUUUGGUUAAUGGUAUAAGAUCGGUUGAGGUAAGGGUAGAUUGAUGAGGAAGGAGUUAGAAUAAAACGAGUACGAAAAAUAGAUAGCUAGAAUUAAAAGUUAUCUU